GCCGAGCCGGCCUCCUCUGGGUCUCUAGUAGUUUCCUUGCCGCUGACGCAUGCUUGCGCGCACAGCUGGGACAGGCGCGUCCUACGCAGCAGCCGCGAGUCGGGGCGGCCGGUGCCAGACGGUUCCGGCGGGGGGCAGGGGCGGGGCGCUGCAGGAGGCCAGGGACUCUCGACGGAGGAGCCCCAUCGAGGCCCAUCUGACUCCUGACGAGUUGCCAUGGCAUCCUACUACGACAUCCUAGACGUGCCGCGAAGUGCGUCUGCUGAUGACAUCAAGAAGGCGUAUCGGCGGAAGGCCCUUCAGUGGCACCCAGACAAGAACCCGGAUAACAAAGAAUUUGCUGAGAGGAAGUUCAAGGAGGUGGCGGAGGCAUAUGAAGUGCUGUCAGACAAGCAUAAGCGGGAGAUCUACGACCGUUAUGGCCGGGAAGGGCUGACUGGGGCAGGAACUGGCCCAUCCCGGGCGGAACCUGGUGGCGGUGGGCCUGGCUUCACCUUCACCUUCCGCAGCCCCGAGGAGGUCUUCCGGGAGUUCUUCGGGAGUGGAGACCCUUUUGCGGAGCUCUUUGAUGAUCUGGGCCCCUUCUCAGAGCUUCAGAGCCGGGGCUCCCGACACUCGGGCCCCUUCUUCACCUUCUCUUCCUCCUUCCCUGGGCACUCUGAUUUCUCCUCCUCAUCUUUCUCCUUCAGUCCUGGGGCUGGUGCUUUUCGCUCUGUUUCUACGUCCACCACCUUUGUCCAAGGACACCGCAUCACGACACGCAGAAUCAUGGAGAACGGGCAGGAACGGGUAGAAGUGGAAGAAGACGGACAGCUGAAGUCAGUCACAAUCAAUGGUGUCCCAGAUGACCUGGCGCUGGGCUUGGAGCUGAGCCGUCGCGAGCAGCAACAGUGUGUCACCUCCAGGCCCGGGGGCACACAGGUCCGGCAGACUCCUGCCUCCCGCACCUCUGACAGCGAUCUCUCCGAGGAUGAUGAGGACCUGCAGCUCGCCAUGGCCUACAGCCUGUCAGAGAUGGAGGCAGCUGGGAAGAAACCAGCAGGUGGGCGGGGGGCGCAGCGUCGUCGGCAGGGGCUCCCCAAGGCCCAGGACCAAGAUCCCGGCGUGGGGGGGACCCCUGAGGCUGCAAGGGGGGAUGCGGCCAAACCCAGCCCAUCCCCAGAGGAGAAGGCCUCUCGCUGCCUCAUCCUCUGAUCACCAGGCCCAAACCACCCUGAUUUCAGGGCGACCGGGGGCUCCUGCUCACUGUCGGGGCAGAGGGGCAGGGCCUGAGUUGCAGGAGCCCUUCUCCAACUCAGUGCUCCCCCAACAGGUUUCCCUCCCAUGUCCACUCGCACUCCAGUGUGGACUCGGGAUUUGCUCUGCUCAGCCCACAGCUGAUAGGUCCCUGGUGAAGCCCAGGGUGGGGAGCCUCCGGGCAGUGGGAGGGCCUCCCAGGAGCCAGGAUGCACUUAUUCCUACUAGAUGGGGAGUUUCUAAGGGGCAUUAGUGGUUUGGGUCGGGCCUGUUGUGCCCAGGUCUUCUGCCACCUGUGUUGCUGAUGACAUCAAGGAAGGAGGACUUGGCCUGGGGUUCUCUGAGCCGGAGUCGGCAGCUACACCAGGGAGUCUCCCGUGCUCCUUGUCCAGCUGCAGACAUCCCACCCUGGUUUCGGUGCAGCGUUGAGCUCUGACGUCUCUGUUGCUUCCCUUCUGGUGCUGCUGCUCCUCCCUCGCUCUCUUCUCUCUGCACUUCCCCGCGGGCCGCAUCGCUUGCUUUCACUGCCAUCUGGCUAGGACUCCCUUCUUCCUUCCCCAAGAAAGCCUCAGUGUGACCAGGAAGAUGCUGUGGCCGGUAGGGCCAUAAGGUCUUCUGGGGAGGCUAGCUGGGUGGGGCGGGAGCCUCUCAUCCAGAUUCGGAACCGGAGCCCACUCCUCCUCCCUUCCUCUUGCUGCCUCAGCCUGCCCCAGGCCUCGGGACUAGGCAGAGAUGUUUUCUGAGCUGGAUGUCCGGGAUCCAGAGCCGCUGCACAGUUCCAACAGGACAGCGCCCUCCCCUGUGCGCUGGGAGGGGACCCUCCAUUCCUCUCCCUCACCCAUGCUGAGCGUAGAGCUGGGCCCGGGUGGUGGGUGGGGGCCGGGUGGGAGGCAUCUGUAGUCUUAGCCUGUGAUCUCUUCCUUGGCUGUUUGGUGCUGUCUCUUGGGGACUACAGGUCCCAGAAUGCAACACACCCUGCCUCAUUUCUGAUAGAUCAUGCUAGGGGAAGCGGUGCGUGGUUGUGGAGCUGUGCAUCUUGGGACAUGUAGUUCCAGCCCAGGUCAGCUUGUCACUCGCUGUGGGAAGGGGAGAUCUUGUCAUCAGAUUUGAUUCUGGCAGGGGUGGCAAGAAUGUGGAUGAAGGGGUAGUGGACCAAGCUUCGGUUCCCCUGACACCUCUUGCUAGUGCCGGGCUUAGAGUGUACAAAUCAAAGCCCUGCGGCAUCUGGGAGAGAGGCUCUUUUCCUGUGGGCAGUCGGAACAGGCCCGGAUGGGAUGGGAUGGGAUGAGCAGGGCGGGGCCCCAGAAGGCUGACUGAUGGGCGUGGGCAGGCAGAGAGCUUGGAAGGGGAGGCCACUGGUGUGAGAGGGAGAGAGAGAGUGUGUGUGUGUAUGUGUGUGUGAGAGAGAGAGAGAGAGAGAGAACAUGCACGCAUGCACGUGGCCGGGAUUGGUGUGUAAUGGGUGCUCCGGGCAUGUUGCUGCUUGAAUGGCUUCUUUGGCCUCUGACCCUGCUGCCCAUUCUUCUUCUCCAACACCACAAAUGAGCUGCCUCUCCUCCUGCCUGCCUGGGGAGCCCCGUGGCCAGGGAGGGGAGCGGUGGAGCCAGGGUGUUGCUAGCCCUGUGACAUUGCAUCUCAGAGACCUAUCAAGCCAGCUAGGCUGAGCUCAGACCGAGAGAGAAACACUGGAAGUCAACAAAUAAAGCUGUUUUGAGCGCUC
Molecule: RNA transcript, 2956 nt
Organism: Zalophus californianus (California sea lion)
Lineage: Eukaryota; Metazoa; Chordata; Mammalia; Carnivora; Otariidae
Gene: DNAJB2
Gene name: DnaJ heat shock protein family (Hsp40) member B2
Exons: 10
Source: RefSeq, a predicted model, not a curated record